Molecule: ribosomal RNA, 253 nt
Filed under: uncultured bacterium
Lineage: Bacteria
Description: partial 16S ribosomal RNA
Rfam family: Bacterial small subunit ribosomal RNA
Source: RNAcentral
UACGGGGGGGGCAAGCGUUGUUCGGAAUUACUGGGCGUAAAGGGCUCGUAGGUGGCCAACUAAGUCAGACGUGAAAUCCCUCGGCUUAACCGGGGAACUGCGUCUGAUACUGGAUGGCUUGAGGUUGGGAGAGAGAUGCGGAAUUCCAGGUGUAGCGGUGAAAUGCGUAGAUAUCUGGAGGAACACCGGUGGCGAAGGCGGCAUCCUGGACCAAUUCUGACGCUGAGGAGCGAAAGCCAGGGGAGCAAACGGG